Molecule: microRNA, 23 nt
Filed under: Scyliorhinus torazame (cloudy catshark)
Lineage: Eukaryota; Metazoa; Chordata; Chondrichthyes; Carcharhiniformes; Scyliorhinidae
Description: Sto-Mir-10-P3b_3p* (star (passenger))
Source: RNAcentral
CAUGGGUCAGUCUCUCGGGAGCC